AGGUCGAGGCGGCCGCCCGUGUCACUGCAGCCUCCGCCGGGGAGAGAAAGGCGCGAGGAGGCGCGAGCGAGCGCCGCGGAGUCGCUGCAGCUGGCGGGCCAUGGGGAGCCCGAAGGACGAGCUGCUCAAGCCCAUCUGGCACGCUUUCACCGCCCUCGACUUGGACAGAAGCGGCAAAGUCUCCAAGUCGCAGCUCAAGGUCCUUUCUCACAACUUGUGUACAUUGCUGAAUGUCCCACAUGACCCAGUAGCCUUAGAAGAGCACUUUAGGGAUGAUGAUGAAGGCCCUGUUUCAAAUCAGGGUUAUAUGCCUUAUUUAAACAGAUUCAUCUUGGAAAAGGUUCAAGGAAACUUCGACAAAAUCGAAUUCAAUAAAAUGUGUUGGACUCUGUGUGCCAGAAAGAACCUUGCAAGAAAUACCUUGCUCCUUUCUGAUGAUGAUGCUUUUAAAGUGUGGGUCAUCUUCAAUUUCCUAUCUGAGGACAAAUAUCCACUAGUCAUUGUACCAGAAGAGAUUGAAUACUUGCUUAAGAAACUGACAGAAGUCAUGGGAUUAGGCUGGCAUCAAGAACAGUUUGAACAUUACAAGAUCAGCCUCGAUACCAGCUGGGAAGGUCUUUCUGCUUGGGAAUUGAUUGAACUGAUUGGAAGUGGUCGAUUUAGCAAAGGGAUGGAUAGGCAAACAGUAUCUAUGGCAAUUAAUGAAGUCUUCAACGAACUUAUAUUAGAUGUAUUGAAACAGGGAUAUAUGUGGAAGAAGGGCCACAAAAGGAAAAACUGGACUGAACGCUGGUUUGUUUUAAAACCCAGUAUUAUAUCGUACUAUGUUAGCGAAGACCUAAAAGACAAAAGAGGAGAGAUUAUAUUGGAUGGCAACUGUACUGUAGAGGCUUUGCCUGACAAAGAUGGAAAGAAAUGUCUCUUUCUUAUAAAAAGCUUAGAGAAAUGUUAUGAGAUUAGUGCCUCUGAUAAGAAGAAGAGGCAGGAGUGGAUUCAAGCUAUUCAGACAACUGUAAAUCUAUUGAGAUUAAGUAGCCCUCCACCUCACAAGGAGGCACGACAGAAACGUAAAGAGAUACGCCAGAAAUUGCAGGCUGAGCAAGAGGAACUGGAAAGGCAGAUGAGAGAGCUCCAAGUGGCAAAUGAGAAUAAGCAGAAGGAACUGGAGACUGUUCGAAAGCAACUCGAGGAAGCUGCAGCUCGAGCUUCAGAAGAGGAGACCAAACGUCUGCAGACUCAAAUGGAACUGCAAGAUCGAUUCAGUCUUGAGCUGGAGAGAGAAAAAAUGGUGAGACAGAAAAUGGAAGAACAGGUAGCCCAGAAGUCAUCUGAGCUAGAACAGUACUUGCUGAGAGUCCAGGAACUCGAGGAAAUGUAUAAACAGCUACAGGAGGCCUUGGAGGAUGAAAAACAGGCACGUCAGGAUGAGGAGACUGUCAGGAGACUUCAGGCCAGACUACUGGAGGAAGAGUCUACCAAGAGAGAAGAACUGGAGAAAUGGCAUUUUGAGCAGCAGCAGGCCAUUGAGGUGACUGAAGCAGAGAAGCAGGAGUUGGAAAACCAGGGAAUGAUGAAGGAACAUGCUCUUCAAGUUGCCCUGCAACAGUUAGAACAACUGGAACUGGAUAGGAAGGAAGCACUGGAACAAUAUGAGGAGGUCAAAAAGAAGUUGGAAGUUGCAGCAAACAAGACCAAGAGUUGGAAAGAUAAAGUUGCUCACCACGAGGGAUUAAUUCGAUUAAUUGAACCAGGUUCCAAGAAUCCUCACUUGAUCACAAACUGGGGACCAGCAGCCUUCACUGAAGCUGAACUUGAGCAGAGAGAGAAGAGUUGGAAGGGGAAAAGGGGCACUUCUGAGCAAUGAACGUUGUGUGUGUGUGUGUGUGUAUAAGAAAUCUAAAAGGAAUAAUUUUAUACCAGCUUUGUUUCAAGGUUUCCAUGAACAAGUUGCACCAGAUUACAAAAUAUUAAAUGCCUGGUGCACAUUAAUAUCUAAUGCAUUUUCAUGCUUGUACAUACAGGGAGCAUUAUUAUAGCAGAAUUGGCAGGAGGUCAAAAGUGUCGGUUUUCUGCACACGAAUUGUGUUUGAAAUGAAUUCUGUCGAUCAGUGGUUCUCAUACUUUUUCCUCCAUGGACUGCUUGAAAAUUGCUGAGGAUCUUUAUGGCUCACUCAGUUUUGUUUUAUUUUACUUUUUGCACGUAGUGGCAAUUGUAAUGCACUGCAUUAGAUACUGAAUGACUUUUAAAUUGCAUUUAAAUUGCUUCUUUUAAUUCUUAUACAUUGUAUUUUAUUGUAUUCCAUAGAAUUCAAACUGUAAUGCAAUAGAAUAUGAUUUAAGAAUUAAAGGAAACAAUUAAAAAUCAGUAUGAAUAUUGAAUGCAACAGACAUGCCAGCGCCUGUUCAACCACAUAUCCACAGACCACCUGAAUGAAGCUUAUGGAACACCAGUGAUCCAUGGACUACCGUUUGGCAACCCCUGGUAUAGAUGAGGAAAAUAUGGGGGUUCUGAUACUGACUUGAUUUUUAGAAUUUGGCACUGGCUUAAGGGAAGGAGAAGUGAAACAAGGCCCAAUUGAAAUACCUUUUCAGCUAACAAACUUUGAACUGGUUUGAGGCUGUAAAAUAUUAUGUAAAUUUUUCAUCUCUGCAUGCUACCACAGUCCACAGUCUCCUGGAGAAACACAGUAGCUUUAGCCGCUAAAACUGUGUGUUGAAAUUCCCCAUAAUUCCUUUCUCUGUAGAUAUUGGGUGCUAUUUCAGGAAAACAACUUUGUGGGAGUAGCACCUGAAUCUUAACAAGUUUGAAGUGUGUAAGGAGAAAGUGGGUGAUUAGCAGUACUUUAAGCAGCACCUGGGCUUUGUUUGAUUUUUCAUCUUUUAGCAGUAGCUAUCUGCAAAUUUUGGACAACUGUUUGCAGUUUUUAGGAAUAUAUGUUUUGUCUUUCUUGGGAGAAACCUUUUGUCAGAAUUCUGGCAAUCCUGUUCUAUUUCUAGGAAGUCUGCUUAGGAAUUCUUAGCCUAAUACUGGCAAAGUGUACCCCUGAACAUUUCACUUAACAUACAUUUAAAUAAUGUUUGUAUUAGGAAUUCUUAUAUGCAGUAUUCCUGCUGCCUGUCUACCUUUGAUAAACUCAAAAAUUACAGUGCCAGGAAACCUGAAAUAUUGAUGUGCUGGGGAGAUUUCUCCCUCCCCUUGGGUGUGUGCUAAACUUUUCAGAUCAAGCAUUGUGCUUCAAACAUAUAUCACUUAAGAAAAAUCAGUAUUGAAUCUCUCUCUCCCUCGCUCUUACACACACACACACACACACACACACACACACACACAUAAUUUAUACAUAUUCACUGUAGACUUGCAUUGCUCAAACUUUUGAUACCUGAGAAGCAGUCUUUCUUUCUGGGUUAAAAUUAAAGGCAUGCUUUGUUCUUCACUUAGAUAUAUAUCUCCAUUCAGCUUUCAAAAUAAUGGACAGUAUAAUCUCUGCAACUGCAGGAUAAUAGUGUCCAAUCCUACCUGCCAAGUGUUCCACACUCCCUUUUACCCAGUGAGUAAUGGGUAGGGGUGGCACUGUGCUUUCUUGGGCAGUGCUAAUGUUUCUAGGAUUCCUCCUCCCUCUACUGUGCUGUAGGCUUUAAAGAAUCUUGGAGUGUUGCUUGGGAUGUUGCUGCAGCUCAUAUAUUGGAGCAAAAAGGGAAUCACUGCUGCAUUGGGUGGCAGAUGUUUUUGCCAUAGCGGCUUAGUUUUUCAGGACACAUUUUGUCAGUCCUUCUCAUGGUGUACAACUUGGGAAUUACUGCUGACAGUAGGCGUUUCUUUGACUGAAACAAUUUGUGUAACUUACUAUGAAAGUCUAUGGAUGCAAGCCUGUGUGCAUACUUACCUGGGAGUAAGUCCCACUGAACCUACUGGGUCUUAUUUCCUGAAUAAACAUGCAGAGGAUUGCAUUGUUUGCUAACCAACUACUUCUUGAAUUACAGACACCUGCUCAUGCAAAUUGUUAACUAACUGUCCUUGCUUACCAAACUUGUACAGUUUUUCUGUACAGCCUGAAUAUUGGUGCAGCUAAUACUUGGUAAAUUAUUUUGACAUAAAUGUAAAAUUUAAUAUUUUAUACUUAAGUAUUUGAAUAUAUAAUAGUAUGUAUUAUUCAAUUAUUUGUGCCUUCCUACCACAGGAACAAAAAGUGAUAACCUUGAAGUAGGGUCUGUUCUCUGGAGCUCAUGGCAGGCAGCGGGGUGCACAGAGGCAGAACUAUGCAGCUCUUUCUAUUCAUUUGACUGGGAUAUACAAGAGUGUUUCAUGCAGACUGCAGAAACAGAUUAAUUUAUUGAGCCAAUUCUGGGCUACCAUGCUUGACAGGUGUACAUCAAUUUCUCUGAAGACAAUACAGUACAACUCCAACGUGGAAGUGCUCCUAAUAUGUUGCAAAAACACCAACCAACAUGGCAAACUCCAGCAGAAUUGCUAUUUGGCAUGCCUGGUGAUAGCCUAGCAAUGGAAAAAUCAAUCAGAAAGACCCAUGGCUCUGGUUUAAUGCUGUGUGGAAUGUGGCCUUAGCAGAAAGUCUUAGCUAUCAUAGAAGAGUUAUACAAGGAACUUCCAGAAGAGACAAAUUUGACACGGUCUUAGAUCAGCACAUACACAAUGACUUGGAGCUGAAGAUGUGAUCUGACAACAGCCUUUGCAUUUGAAGAGUUACAAGGUGAUACAAACACUCUUUCUUUAUUGUUGUACAGUGGUACCUCUACUUACAAAUAACUCUACUUAUGAAUUUUUCUACUUACAAAUGGAGCUCCGUCCGCCAUCUUGGAUGCGGUUUAGAUAGGAUUUUUUCUACUUACGAAUUUUUAGAUAGGGUUACUUCGACUUACGAAUUUUUUCUCCUAAUGCAUUCCUAUGGGAUUCGACUUACAAUUUUUUUCGACUUACAAAUGUGUGUUCGGAACGCAUUAAAUUCGUAAGUAGAUGUACCACUGUAUCUGUAAAGGGCAAUUUACACAUGAGAUGAAUUCAAACAGACAUAUUAGCUUUUGCACCUAUAACAGUAAUUUUACAUAUCCAGGUAGCACAUUUCCAUUCUAACAUUGUUGCUCCUAAUUUGUGUUUCCUAAUUAGCACCUGCUUUUCCAGCUGUUUUUCAAAGUAGCCCAUUUUAUAUUUGCUCUCUUUCCUUCUCAUAGUCUCCUAUUUUCAUUCCUGUUAGUUCUUUCACUUCUUCAUAUUCAUUUUAGUAUGCUCUAAUUCUGGAUGUACCUUUUAAAUUAAAAACAUUUUUUUCUGUGCAGCGAUUAGGGCACUAAGGAUGUGCAUCUGAAUGGCUUAAACGGCACAGUUAAACACACCCGAAUACUGAACGGAAUCACUCACACAAAUGGUUUAUCAUGCAGAGCUAGUUCAUAGUUCUCUGUCAUGUGUGAAAUGGGCUUUACAGUACUUUGCAGUUUGCCAUACUUUUUUUAAAAUAGUUGUGUAUGUGCCCUGCAAAGAUAUGUGCGUAUGUGGAGAAAUUUCUGUGGAAUUGUGAUGUAGCAGGAUGGUACAAGUGGGAAGAAAAAUUAAGAAAGCCAGUUAUACAUAGAAACAUAACAACAACCCCCCCCACCUAAAAAAACUAAUGCUGGAACGGGCAGGGCAAUAUUUAUUUUUUGUUUUAUGUAAAAGCAUUUAUAAACAAUUUAAUACUUUUAAAAAUCUCAAAGUGGUGUACAACACAAAAACCAUAAACAAUAUCAUUAAAACAACAAUACAACAUAAAACAGUAUAAUAAAAGUAUUUUAAAACAAAAGUAAGAAUUAGGAAUCCACAGCAACACAAUGCCACCAACUCCUAACUACAGAGACAGUCCAGGAGGAUGCCAUGAUCAGUGUAUUGAAAGCCACUGAGAGAUAAGCAAUGCAUUUUUAUGUUGUGAACCAACCAACCAGGGUCAUCCAUCCAAGGCCAAUUUUGUCUCAAAGCUGGGCUUGAACCUAAACUGUAAUGGGUCAAGAUAAUCAGCUUCCUUCAAGAGUGUCUGCAGCUGGAUUGCUGCUAUUCCAGAGUGAAAUGAAGGUCUUAGCAGGAUUGCUGGCUCCGACUUCUGGAAAAUCCCCCAAAGCAUUAAUAAAUCCCUCUAAUUCCACAAGUCUUUGGCAGUGGACACUAUGAAGGACCCCUCACCACUGCAGGAGGAAGACACAUGACGUAAGACCAAACAUAACCAUGUCUGACCAUGACAACGGUUAUGUCAAACCUCUCCCUCCCCGCCCAUAUUCAGACCGCUACCCCUCACACCCUGAGGUAAAGACCAAAUCAGGGUAUGUAUGUGACAUCCUAUGCAUUGGGCUGCUGACAAUUUUGAACAGCCCCGUGGAUUUCAUGGAGAACAUGGAAGUUUUGAUCUUACCCUACACUUGAUAUAGCUAUUGAGCUACCAGAACCAGUGCCAUGGAAUUCUCCCAACACCACACCUUGAGGCCACCAAGGUACAGGCCUUCAUAGCGCACCCCAGGAUGGAAAGGCUUCCUGGUGAACAAGACACUAGCUCUAUGGGCCACAGAGACGCCCCUUCUCUGGACUUCCAAACAAGGUGGAUGCUGCACCAGAUAUCUGUUAAAGCUUGAGUCAAAUCCACUCUGCCCAACUCACCCAGGUCUGAGUAAUACAGGCUAGGCAGGUUCCUUCAUUCGUAAUCAAACUAAACAGCAGCACCAACUCAGUUGGCCACCAGGUGCCUGUAGUGAAUGGACUGUGUAGUCAUCAAGAUCGCCCAUAGACCCAAUGCCCCCCCCGACCUGUGGUCACUUGUAUAGGGUCACCAUCAGUCUCCUCUCCUCUACUGUGUCUCACAUCCCGACUCGUACACAUUCACUUCCAAAUCUCAGGACCCUGAAUAAGAAGCUCCCAACACAAUUGCCCAACAGAUCACAUUGCCAUGAACCAUAUAUCUUGUGGAUGUGUCCAUGAUUGGUUGCCAUGCUCUUAUCAGGUCACCAUUUCCCAGCACUCUGCCUCUCAAUCAAAAUACUAGGUUAGGCCUUUCACCCAGGAAUCAACCCAAUCAACAAGUCAAACUAACUAGGGAAUCAUUCAUUUGAGGGUGACCCUACAGAAUCCCUGUGGAGCUGAUGAUUAAGGCAGACAAAGGUGCCUGCUAUUAGGAACUGCCAAGUCUCGGCUGGCUGGCCAUUCUAGGAAGCCAAACCCCUUUGCAGAGCCAAACUGCCCUGCAAGAACAUCACAGGUCAAAGUGACAAGCAAGCAGCAGAUGCGGAGGAGAUGGUCUGAGCGUCUUCUGCAUCUGCUGCUAUGGGUGACUGCUCUUCAUCAGAAAAUCUACUCAAAAUUAUGUUAUCUACAUAAAAUUUAAUAUCUGGAACGUGAAAGAUUAUGAAACAUUUGAACAUUAGGAAAAUAACAAAACAAAUAGAAAGGUUGCCAUCAUAAAAUGCUUACAUUGCAUGCAAAGAAACUCAAGAAUAGUGCACUAUCUGAAUAGAAAAUGUCACCAGUUUAUGGGCUGUAUUAUUUACUUGCUCUAUUUUUUAUCAUAGAAAUUUCACAAAAACUUGCUGUUGGCAGCUAUGCCCUAAAUUACAGUGUUUUGGGGCACAUUUAAAGAUAAAUUGGAGGGCAUACUUAGAACAGAUUUUCUGAUGAAGUGUUAAUACUCAAUGAAAGGGCUUCCUAAUCAACUAUUUUCCUGCAGACAACAGGACGAAUGCCAGAUAUCUAAGCCGCCUUAUGGCAGUUCUGGUGCUAAAAGGCUCAAGUAAUCAACUGUUGUUGAAUAUGCCAUUUGUAUAUUGUAUCCAUAUUCAUGUUGCAUGUGGAUUUUUUUUGGUAUUCACUUAAUACAGAAGCACAACCUUUCUAAGCAAGUAAUAAUAGUGAAAUAUUACUGGCCGCCUGUAGUAUUAAUGGAAUGUUGUGCGUUUAAUAAUGAUAAAACACACUUAAGAACAAGUCUUUUCCACAUACAAGAUGGCACUUGCCUGUAUAAAAAUAUGAAUUUUAUUACAGGGUUAUUUGGAAUAUAAUUUAACUGUAGUGUUAUAUGAUGCAAGGUAUUUAUUGUAUACCACUUGGUAGAGGAAAGAAGGGAUGCUUUCUUAAGAAGUAUCUUUAUUACAAGUUGGUUAGCAUAUACUAGUUAUGUAACAUACAUAAAAUAAUUAAAAUUGGCUAGUUACAACCAUAGAAGUAGUGUACAUUUUAAACAGCCACAAAACAGAAUAAUUAUACAAAGUACAUAUAAAAGUACUUCAUAUACGAAGAAAAAUACAUAAAUGUGCAAACACCAUUUUUCAUAGGUGGUGGUUUAUCGGCUGAAAAUGCUAGAAAAAUCCUUCAUUUCUGUUUGUUUUUGGGAUUCCAAUGUAUUUAAAACAGAUGUAUUUCCUAGUCUGAGUACAAUGUGAAAUCUGUAUUUAAUUUAAAAAAUAUAGAAAAAGUAGUGGUUUUUUUUUAAAAAAGGUAAACAAUUUCAGUAACUGAAAUUCUAUAAAUGAAGUCAGUUUGGUUAGUUGGUAGUGACCCCGUUCACAUGAGAUUGUAAACCAUGGUUUGAUGUUAGAAUGAAAAGCCACAAUGAGCCUUGGGCUCAUAUGCUUCCUUACCUCCUCACCUCUAGCACACUUGCGAUGAGCAGAAUGAAAGCUCCCUCUUCCCUUUUACAUCAAUCACAUUUGAAUAUUCUGUCCGAUUCCUAAACUGUACCUGCUAUUAACUAUCAUUAGUGAAAAUAACCCAGCUUUGUAAAAUACGGGUUGAAGUUGCCUUGUUUUCACUAAUUACAGUUAAGAUCAGGCACCCCCAAACUCGCCCCUCCAGAUGUGUAUUGGGACUACAACUCCCAUGCUCCCUAGCUAACAGGAUCAGUAGUCAGGGAUGAUGGGACUUGUAGUCCCAAAACAUCUGGAGGGCCAAGUUUGGGGAUGCCUGGUUAAGACUAAACAGUUUGAGUGGGAAGCUUUUGAGCUGUUCCUCUUUGCUGCACCAGAAGAGGAGGGAAUAGCAUGUAAGCCCAACACUUGCUGGUUUGUCAUUGUUACACUUGACCAUAGUUUAGCACGACAUGUGAAUGUAGCCAUUAAGUUACAAGCAACAUUACUAAACACUAGAAAAUACUGACCAGUAUGUACAAACUCUGACAUAUUAGUUUGAUAUUUAAACAUAUUAGUACUUAAAACAAAAACAUGACAUGUUAGUUAUCUAGAGACUCUACACUCAAAGUCAUCACAGAUUGCACCAAGUCAAACUUGUUAUUAAUUUUGGACUGUAAAAAAACCAACAACAUUCCUCAAAGAUUUUUAAGAUGAACAAACACAAUGUUAGCAAAUGUAAAAAAAUCUAAAAACAUUCUUCCAAUUCAUGUGCAAAAAUGUUUUUAAAGUAUCAAAUCACACCAUAUUAUGCCCAAUUAUGUACAUAUUCUUUAUCUGAAAUCACUGUUAUCUAGCUAGCAUUCUGCUAUAAAUAAUUUACCUCUAUCCUUCAAAUGUCUGCUUUCAAGGAUUUCAGUGCAAGUGUUUGUUUUGUUUAGUGCAUUUAUCAUUGUUAUUUCAUUUUACAACGAGCAGAACAGCACAUAAAUUAAUAUACAACUUUUUAUAUUUCUUAGGCUUUUCUCCCAAGUGAUUUGUAGAAGGUUUUGACCUUUGUCAGUUUUAUUGUUGUCUUCAUUUAUCUUCUGCCACAGGUAAAGAGAAUGUAAAUAAAAAAAUGAUGUAUCCUUCAACUAUCUAGAUAUAUCUGGAGACAAAAAUACCAGGAAAGAAACAUUUCUUAAACAUUUUUGGUGUCUAGAAUAAAUGUCUUAAGACUCUGUCAUGCAUAUUUUUUGGUUUCCAAACCAUGGUUACAGGGCUAGAGGAUAGCCUGCACAAUCCAUUCUUUCCAUCCCCUCUGGGAAGUGCCACAUCUCAGAGGGUUGGAGAAGUCUCCUGAAAAAUGUGGGCUAUAGUGUGUUGGGUGGUAGUGGGGAGGGAAAAAUUACCUGAAAUUUGGCUGAGGAACCUUGCAUGAGCCUGAUUAUACACACUUCCUCCCUUCCCACUAUACAGCCCUGUACAACCACAAGCAACAUUUUUUCAGGAGGGUCCCUCAGCCGUCUGGAGAAAACAAUAGUUGUGCAAACUGUAUUCUGUUUAUGCAUCUGUGGGAUACAAUUCCUAAUGGGUCUUGAAGAUUUUAAGAAUGCUGUAUAAGAUUUACUAGCCUGACAAUUGACUCCCUUUCUGAAACACUGGAAAAUAGAGGGUUAUUUGGAAGAAACUGUUCACAAAUAGCAAGCCUGAGAUAACAGCAUAUCCCAGUACAAUGCAGCCUGAUCAUCAGGCCUGCAAUUCUACUGAAGAGAACCAUUUUGCAGGCAGAGAAGUUAAUUGAUUUUGAGUGUUCUCCAAAUGGAGAGUCAUAAUACAGGCUAUACGGUUAAGGAAAGGCAAUGUUCUGAGUAUUUAUGGCUGAAAUAUAAGGCUGCUUGAU
This is a non-coding RNA of Zootoca vivipara (common lizard), 10468 nucleotides long. Lineage: Eukaryota; Metazoa; Chordata; Lepidosauria; Squamata; Lacertidae. The record is from RefSeq and is a predicted model, not a curated record.